UAACUGAAGAGUUUGAUCAUGGCUCAGAUUGAACGCUGGCGGCAGGCUUAACACAUGCAAGUCGAGCGGGGGAAGGUAGCUUGCUACUGGACCU
This 94-nucleotide ribosomal RNA is filed under the name Acinetobacter baumannii. RNAcentral's name for it is "partial 16S ribosomal RNA". It matches the Rfam family "Bacterial small subunit ribosomal RNA", at positions 1 to 93 of the family's 1533-position model. Lineage: Bacteria; Pseudomonadati; Pseudomonadota; Gammaproteobacteria; Moraxellales; Moraxellaceae. The record is from RNAcentral.